This 253-nucleotide ribosomal RNA is filed under the name uncultured bacterium. Its description in RNAcentral is "partial 16S ribosomal RNA". It matches the Rfam family "Bacterial small subunit ribosomal RNA", at positions 524 to 776 of the family's 1533-position model. The record is from RNAcentral.
GACGUAGGGCGCGAGCGUUGUCCGGAUUUAUUGGGCGUAAAGAGCUCGUAGGCGGCUUGUCGCGUCGUCCGUGAAAACUUGGGGCUCAACCCCAAGCUUGCGGUCGAUACGGGCAGGCUAGAGUUCGGUAGGGGAGACUGGAAUUCCUGGUGUAGCGGUGAAAUGCGCAGAUAUCAGGAGGAACACCGAUGACGAAGGCAGGUCUCUGGGCCACUACUGACGCUGAGAAGCGAAAGCAUGGGGAGCGAACAGG